UACAGAGGUCUCAAGCGUUGUUCGGAUUCAUUGGGCGUAAAGCGCACGUAGGCGGAUUGACAAGUUGGGGGUGAAAUCCCGGGGCUCAACCCCGGAACUGCCUCCAAAACUGUCAGUCUUGAGUUCGAGAGAGGUGAGUGGAAUUCCGAGUGUAGAGGUGAAAUUCGUAGAUAUUCGGAGGAACACCAGUGGCGAAGGCGGCUCACUGGCUCGAUACUGACGCUGAGGUGCGAAAGCGUGGGGAGCAAACAGG
Molecule: ribosomal RNA, 253 nt
Filed under: uncultured bacterium
Lineage: Bacteria
Description: partial 16S ribosomal RNA
Rfam family: Bacterial small subunit ribosomal RNA
Source: RNAcentral